CAAACAGGGCCUCAAAAGCCACCUAUUUAGCUUUUGAACAUGAUAUUGCUCAGCGGCAGAGCCAGCAGGGUGGCACGGUGGGGCUAGGACCAUCCUAAAAAUCAGGCACACAUUGUACCUGUUAGCAAAAAGGAAAAAAAGACAGAAAAAAGCCCAUCUCGGUUAAGCACUCUCCAGCCAAAAACUAACAGGUAGAAUUUCACGCCAACUCCAACUGCAUGGGCGCACGGAUGUUUUCGCGAGCCGCGAACGCAUCGUACACGCCCGGCCACCCCGACUCUUCGUCUUCCCUGCAGUCAUGCUUCCCUGUGCGUGCGAGGAGAAACAGGACGCGAGGGCGAGGAGCAGGCGUGCCGUCAUCCGUUUCCAAGGCGGCCAUGCCGUCGCCGGGCAGAGUAGGACACUAAGUUCCAAUCUUGUUCGUUCCAAGGCUUUCAAGACUAACUUAAGGUGUUGUUCGCUGGCGGAGGACGCUGCAUCAUCGCCCGAGUUGCCCAAGAGCGGUCGUCUUCUUUUCUGGGACGACGACUCCGUCUCCCUAUCAAGCACAUCAGCAGGCAGCAAGCCGUUUGUACACGCACUGUGGCCAGAAGUCAGAACAAGGUGAUUAGAAGUUCACUGUUGAUUAUUCCAAAGCAUAUCAUGGCCGUUGCCAUCCCUCCCAAAAGACCAUUAAGAUCAUUCGACAUUUUCUCAAAAGGCAUCGAUCCUCAUCAUACCCUGCCCCUGCCCCCUCUCUGAUAUCUGAUCCAUCGACGCAUCGAUCAGUCAGCCGGCCGGAGGGACCCGUAGCCCGUUCUAAUGGCGCCCUCUGCCUCUCUCUUCCUUUCCCUGCAAUAAUGACCCUGGAAUCUGAUGGCGACCACGGCGGAUGGAUCGAUUUGCAUGGUGAGCUAGCUUCCCGGAGAGACCCCCGCCCGGCACAGCGCGCGCGCGCGCGCAGCCACUAGUGCAAGGGGCGGCUGGGGAAUUGGGGAUCGUCCAUGGUGAUACUCCGUGAGUGAUCGAUGAUGGCAUGCACGGCUAGCAUAUUACCCUUUAUUGUGUGCGGAAUCUCACAUGUGUUCUCUUGCUCCAUGGAUGGCACCUGGGCGGCAGAGAUUGGUUUUUAGUAUUUUUAGGUGAACUGGUUGAGUUGAUUCGAUGUGGGUGAAAGUGGAACGAGGGUUGUCUACUUGACAAGAUUAUUCUUGUAUUCCAGUAUGUCGUGGAGUUGUUUCUUUUGACCUAUUUUUUCCGAGGAAAGAAAAUGAAGGAAUUGGACGCUCCCGUUAUAUAUACGGUCUUCUUUCCGAGGAAAGAAAACAAAGGAAUUGGACGCUCCCGUUAUUUAUACGGUC
This is a long non-coding RNA of Brachypodium distachyon (stiff brome), 1340 nucleotides long. RefSeq lists it as uncharacterized. The transcript has 2 exons. Lineage: Eukaryota; Viridiplantae; Streptophyta; Magnoliopsida; Poales; Poaceae. The record is from RefSeq and is a predicted model, not a curated record.